This 468-nucleotide ribosomal RNA is filed under the name uncultured bacterium. Its description in RNAcentral is "partial 16S ribosomal RNA". It matches the Rfam family "Bacterial small subunit ribosomal RNA", at positions 28 to 507 of the family's 1533-position model. The record is from RNAcentral.
GACGAACGCUGGCGGCGUGCCUAACACAUGCAAGUCGAACGGAAAGGUCAUGCUUUUGCUGGGUGCUCGAUUGCCGAACGGGUGAGUAACACGCGAGUAUACCGUCCCUAACUUUGGGAUAACAUUUCGAAACUGCGGCUCAUACCGCAGAGGACCUCCUGCUGCACGUUGGUCGUUGGAAAGAUUCGGCGGUUGGAGAUGGACUCGCGGCUUCUUAGCUUGUUGGUGGAGUAGUGGCUUACCAAGGCUUUGAAGGGUAGCCGGCCUGAGAGGGUGACCGGCCACAUUGGGACUGAGAUACGGCCCAGACUCCUACGGGAGGCAGCAGUGGGGAAUAUUGCACAAUGGGCGGAAGCCUGAUGCAGCAACGCCGCGUGCGGGAUGACGGCCUUCGGGUUGUAAACCGCUUUCGCCUGUGACGAAGCGUGAGUGACGGUAAUGGGUAAAGAAGCACCGGCUAACUACGUG